AUACGGAGGGUGCGAGCGUUAAUCGGAAUUACUGGGCGUAAAGCGUACGUAGGCGGUUUGCUAAGUCAGAUGUGAAAGCCCCGGGCUUAACCUGGGAACUGCAUUUAAAACUGGCGAACUAGAGUUGAGUAGAGGGGAGUGGAAUUUCAGGUGUAGCGGUGAAAUGCGUAGAGAUCUGAAGGAACACCAGUGGCGAAGGCGACUCCCUGGACUCGAACUGACGCUGAGGUACGAAAGCGUGGGUAGCAAACGGGAUUAGAAACCCCAGUAGUCC
RNAcentral lists this ribosomal RNA (274 nucleotides) under uncultured bacterium. Its description in RNAcentral is "partial 16S ribosomal RNA". It matches the Rfam family "Bacterial small subunit ribosomal RNA", at positions 523 to 796 of the family's 1533-position model. The record is from RNAcentral.